RNAcentral lists this ribosomal RNA (253 nucleotides) under uncultured bacterium. RNAcentral describes it as "partial 16S ribosomal RNA". It matches the Rfam family "Bacterial small subunit ribosomal RNA", at positions 524 to 776 of the family's 1533-position model. The record is from RNAcentral.
UACGGAGGGUGCAAGCGUUAAUCGGAAUUACUGGGCGUAAAGGGCUCGUAGGCGGCCAACUAAGUCAGACGUGAAAUCCCUCAGCUUAACUGGGGAACUGCGUCUGAUACUGGAUGGCUUGGAUUCGGGAGAGGAAUGCGGAAUUCCAGGUGUAGCGGUGAAAUGCGUAGAUAUCUGGAGGAACACCGGUGGCGAAGGCGGCAUUCUGGACCGACAUUGACGCUGAGGAGCGAAAGCCAGGGGAGCAAACGGG